GCAGCAGCCACGGUAAUACGGAGGGUGCAAGCGUUAAUCGGAAUUACUGGGCGUAAAGCGUGCGUAGGCGGCUUCUUAAGUCGGAUGUGAAAUCCCUGAGCUUAACUUAGGAAUUGCAUUCGAUACUGGGAAGCUAGAGUAUGGGAGAGGAUGGUAGAAUUCCAGGUGUAGCGGUGAAAUGCGUAGAGAUCUGGAGGAAUACCGAUGGCGAAGGCAGCCAUCUGGCCUAAUACUGACGCUGAGGUACGAAAGCAUGGGGAGCAAACAGGAUUAGAUACCCGCGUAGUCCCUGUCUCUUAUAC
RNAcentral lists this ribosomal RNA (302 nucleotides) under uncultured bacterium. RNAcentral's name for it is "partial 16S ribosomal RNA". It matches the Rfam family "Bacterial small subunit ribosomal RNA", at positions 508 to 807 of the family's 1533-position model. The record is from RNAcentral.